GCUUAUACAUGCAGUCGAACGAUGAGAGGGAGCUUGCUCCCUGGAUUAGUGGCGAACGGGUGAGUAACGCGUGAGUAACCUGCCCUUGACUCUGGGAUAAGCACUGGAAACGGUGUCUAAUACCGGAUACGAACUUCAGCCGCAUGGCUAGGAGUUGGAAAGAAUUUCGGUCAAGGAUGGACUCGCGGCCUAUCAGCUAGUUGGUGAGGUAACGGCCCACCAAGGCGACGACGGGUAGCCGGCCUGAGAGGGUGACCGGCCACACUGGGACUGAGACACGGCCCAGACUCCUACGGGAGGCAGCAGUGGGGAAUAUUGCACAAUGGGCGCAAGCCUGAUGCAGCAACGCCGCGUGAGGGACGACGGCCUUCGGGUUGUAAACCUCUUUUAGUAGGGAAGAAGCAAAGUGUUUUACAUGGAGUGACGGUACCUGCAGAAAAAGCACCGGCUAACUACGUGCCAGCAGCCGCGGUAAUACGUAGGGUGCAAGCGUUAUCCGGAAUUAUUGGGCGUAAAGAGCUCGUAGGCGGUUUGUCGCGUCUGCUGUGAAAACUGGGGGCUCAACCCCCAGCCUGCAGUGGGUACGGGCAGACUAGAGUGCGGUAGGGGAGAUUGGAAUUCCCGGUGAAUCGGUGGAUGCGCAGAUACCAGGAGGAACACAGUGGCGAAAGCA
RNAcentral lists this ribosomal RNA (673 nucleotides) under uncultured bacterium. Its description in RNAcentral is "bacterial SSU rRNA". It matches the Rfam family "Bacterial small subunit ribosomal RNA", at positions 46 to 723 of the family's 1533-position model. The record is from RNAcentral.